CGGUUUUCCUAUAAAAAGCCCGACAAUCCCUGCAGCCUUCUCUUUGGCUGAACUUUUCUAGAAAGGUCUAGAAGUGCGCGCGUGUGUAGUUUUCUUUAAAGUGAGAGGUUCAAUUAGUAAAAUAGUUCAUACAAAGUUCGUUAGUAAGGUGUUAGUCGCUGUAAAAUUGUUAUAAAAAUUUAUAGUUAAAACACGACACAAAGCAAACAACAAAAACGAACACGUUAAAAAGCAACAAGAAAAAGGUCCAAAGUAUGGGCCUUUUUCUGUAUUUUUGGAAUAAUCCCCAGCAACCUCGGUGGCGAGAAUGGCGACAGGAGGUCGGUAUCAGCAGCGCACCGCAAUAUGCUUCAGCCAAAGCCGCCAUUGUUAUGGCAUCCAUGUGGCUCAACGCAACGGAGCCCAACAUUUCGACCAGACGUCCGGUAAUUUCACCGAUGUUCGCCAACGCCUGCCGCUGGAGUCAAACCACGCUUCCGAGGCCGCUUUCCGCCAUCUCCGUCGGCAUCUGCUAGACUGGCUCAACGUAGACCGCUCUUCUAGGUUACAGAGCGAGCUACCCGUAUGCGGAACCGGAGGUUCCCCCAAAACCUAUCGACCGACCACAACCGCAAGUAUAAAACCCCCUGCAAAACUGACGUCACAACAAUAAAACAGAGGAGGUCGUAAAACUGA
Long non-coding RNA from Armigeres subalbatus, 675 nucleotides. RefSeq lists it as uncharacterized. Lineage: Eukaryota; Metazoa; Arthropoda; Insecta; Diptera; Culicidae. The transcript has 4 exons. The record is from RefSeq and is a predicted model, not a curated record.